CUCAGGUGGCAUCAUGGAACCUGCCGACAUGUGAUGUCUCCCCGGGAAAAUAGAAAAGAACCCACAAAGAAUUAUUGGAGGUCGGAUCCCCUAAUAUCUGGUGCACCAACGUGGUUUUUUCCUUUUCCCAAGUGCAUGUGGGAACCCGAUUCCCUUUUGUAGGUGCACAGAAACGUCAUUGGUUUGGUCCACAGAAAUGCAGGUUCGACUCCCUGACAACUGAUCCUGUGAAAACAGUGUUUCAAACAUGAUGUAUCAAAAGAAACGUUGACCUCUGUGAGAAGAAUCCACACAUCACAAAGAAGUACACAGAUAGCUACUUCCUAGUUUUUAUAUGAGGAUUUUUUUUUUAACCAUACACCUCAAAGGGCUUCAAAAUGCCCCAUGUAGAUUCUACACAACUAGUGUUUCCAGCCUCCUGAAUUAAAGGAAAGGUUUAUCUCUGUGAGAUGAAUCCACACAUCAAAAAAGCAGUUUCACAAACAGCUUCUUUCUGGUUUGUGUCUGGGGGUAUUCGGUUUUUCACUGCUUCCUGAAAGGGUUUCCAAAUGUACCUUUGCAGAUUCCAUAAAAAGAGUGUUUUUAAUCUGCUGAAUCAAAAGAAAGAUUUAACUUUGUGAUUUCAAUCCAGAUAUCACAAAGCAGUUUCACAGAUAGCUUCUUUCAGUUUUUAUCUGGGGAUAUUUGGUCUUUUACCAUAGGCCUCUAAGGACUCUGAAAUGUCCCUUGAAAGAUUCUACCAUAAGAGUUUUUCCAAUUUACCGAGUCAAAAGUCAUGUUUAACUCUGUGAAACGAAUCCACACAUCACAAGGCAGUUUCACAGAUAGCUUCUGUCUUGUUUUUGUCUGGAAAUAUUCGGUUUUUCACCAAAAAAAUCAUGGGCUUCAAAAAGUCCCUUUGCAUAUCCUACGAAAAGAGGAUUUCACACCUGCUGAAUCAAAACAAACGUUUAAUUCUGUGAGGUGAAUCCACACAUGACAUGCAGUUUCAGAGACACUUUCUUUCUAGUUUUUAUCUGGGCAUAUUCUGUUUUUCACCGUAGGCCUCUACGGUCUCCCAAAUAUCCCUUCGCUUAUUCUAACUGAAGAGUAUUUCAAACUUGCUGAAUCAAAAGAAAGGUUUAACUCUGAGUGGUGAAUCCACACAUAACAAAGCAGUUCCACAGGUAGCUUCCUUCUGGUUUUCAACUGGGGAUAUUGUUUUUUUCACCAUAGCCUCAAUGGACUUCAAAAUGUCCCUUCUCAGGUUCUACAAAACAAGUAUUUCCAACCAGCUGAGUCAUAGGACAGGCUUAUCUCUGUGAGACGAAUCCACACAUCACAAAGCAGUUUCACAGGUAGCUACUUUGUAGUUUUAUCUGUGGAUAUUCUGUUUUUCACCAUAGGGCUCAAAUACCUUCCAAACCUCCCUUCUCAGAUUCUGCCAAAAAGUGUUUCCAACCCACUUAAUCAAAAGAAAGAUUUAACUCUGUAGAUGAAUCCAAACAUCGCAGAGAAGUUUCACAGGUAGCUUCUUUCUAGUUUAUAUAUGGGAAUAUUCAGUUUUUCACCAUAGGUCUCAAUGGGCUCCCACAUGUCCCUUUCCCGAUUUUACCAAAAGAGUGUUUCCAAACUGCUGAAUCAAUAGAAAAAUUUAAAUCUGUGAGUAGAUUCCAUACAUCACAAAGUAGUUUCACUAAAACCUUCUUUCUAGUUUUUAUCUUUCAAUAUUCAAUUUUUCACAGUGUGCCACAAUGGGCUGGCAAUGUCCCUUCACAGAUUCUAGCAAAAGAAUGUUUGCAAACUGCUGAAUCAAAAGAAAGGUUUAAGCCUUUGGGCUGAAUCCACACUUAACAAAGCAGUUUCACAGAGAGCUUCUUUGUACUUUUUAUGUGGGGAUAUCCAGUUUUUCACCAUAGGCAUCUGUGGGCUUAUAAACGCUCAUUCACAGGUUCUAUCUAAAAAGUAUUUCUAUCCUGCUGUAUCAAAAGAAAGAUUUAACUCUGUGCAAUGAAUCUACACAUCACAAAGCAGUUUCACUGAUAGCUUCUUUCUAAUUUUUAUUUGGAGAUAUUCAGCUUUCCACUAUAGGCUUAAAAGGGCUCCCAAAUGUCCCUUUGCAGAUUCUACCAAAAGAGUGUUUCCAACCUGCUGAAUCAAAAGAUAGGUUUAACUCAGUGAGGUGAAUCCAUACAUCACAAAGCCGUUACAUAUUUAGCUUAUUUCUACUUUUUAUCUGGAGAUAUUCUGUUUUUCACCAUAGACCUCUAUGGGCUCUUAAAUGUCCCUUCACAGAUACUAUUUAAAAAAUGUUUGAACCAUGCUAUAUUGACAGAAAUAUUUAACUCUGUUAGAUGAAUAAACACAUCUCAAGCAGUUUCACAGUACUUACUUUGUAGUUUUUAUCUGGGGAUUUUUGAUUCUUCAUUACAUGCUUCAAAGUUCUCUAAAAUGCCCAUUCGCAGAUUCUUCAAAAAGGUGUUUACAAUCUGCUGAGUCAAAAGAAAGGUUUAACACUGUGAGAUGAAUCCACACAUAGGAAAGCAGUUACACAGACAGCUUCUUUCUACUUUUUAUCUGGGGAUAUUCAGUUUUUCACCUCAGGCCUCUAUGGGCUCCCAAAUGUCUUUCCACUGAUUCUAGCAAACAAGUGUUUCCAAGCGACUGAAUCAAAAGGAAUGUUUAACUCUGUGAGGUGAAUCCACAUAUCAAAAACAGUUUUACAGACAGAGUCUUUCUAGUUUUUAUCUUGGAAUAUUCGGUUACUCACCAGAGGCCAGAAAGCCUCUACAAAAUGUCCCUUCAUAGAUUCUACCAAAAGAGUGUUUUUAUAAUGCUGAAUGAAAAGGAUGGUUGAACUCUGUGAGAUGAAUAAAUACAAGACAAAGCAGUUUCACAGAUAGCUUGUUUCUAGUUUUAAUUUGCAGAUAUUUGGUUUUUCACUGUAGGCUGUAAAGGGCUCCCAAAUGUCCCUUUGCAGAUUCUACCAAGACAGUGUUUUCAAUCUGCUGAAUCAAAAGAUAGGUUUAACACAGUGAGAUGAAUCCACACAUCACAAAGCAGUAUCACAGAUAGAUUCCUUCGAGUUUUUAGCUGGGGAUAUUGUGUUUUUCACCUUAGGUCUCUAUGGGCUCCCAAAUGUCACUCUGCUGGUUCCACA
RNAcentral lists this long non-coding RNA (3139 nucleotides) under Homo sapiens (human). RNAcentral describes it as "HSALNT0257642". Lineage: Eukaryota; Metazoa; Chordata; Mammalia; Primates; Hominidae. The record is from RNAcentral.